UAAAAAUUUAAUUAAAUAUAUUAAAUUAGUAUUAGUUAAGUUCUUGAAAUUUAAAAAAUUUGGCGGUAUUUUAGUCUAUUCAGAGGAACCUGUUUUGUAAUUGAUAUUCCACGUUGUAUCUUACUUGAGUUUGUUUUAUAUAGUUUAUAUAUCGUCGUUUAUUAAAUAUUUUUUAAAAAUAAUAAUUUUUUUAAUUUUUAAUUUUAAAGUAUAUCAGAUCAAGAUGUAGCUUAUAUUUAAGUUUAUAAUGGGUUACAAUUAUUUUAUUAAUGGAAAUAAAUUUGUAAAUUAUUUAUUGAAAUUGGAUUUGAUAGUAAAUUUAUAUAGAUUAAUAAUUUGAUAAUAGCUCUAAAAUAUG
This 358-nucleotide ribosomal RNA is filed under the name Dasydorylas sp. QM T18538. Its description in RNAcentral is "partial 12S ribosomal RNA". Lineage: Eukaryota; Metazoa; Arthropoda; Insecta; Diptera; Pipunculidae. The record is from RNAcentral.